This 449-nucleotide ribosomal RNA is filed under the name uncultured bacterium. RNAcentral's name for it is "partial 16S ribosomal RNA". It matches the Rfam family "Bacterial small subunit ribosomal RNA", at positions 354 to 796 of the family's 1533-position model. The record is from RNAcentral.
GUGGGGAAUCUUGCGCAAUGGGCGCAAGCCUGAUCCAGCAAUGCCGCGUGCAGGAAGAAGGCCUUCGGGUUGUAAACUGCUUUUGUACGGAACGAAACGGUCCUGGCUAAUACCCGGGGCUAAUGACGGUACCGUAGAAUAAGCACCGGCUAACUACGUGCCAGCAGCCGCGGUAAUACGUAGGGUGCGAGCGUUAAUCGGAAUUACUGGGCGUAAAGCGUGCGCAGGCGGUGCUGUAAGACAGGCGUGAAAUCCCCGGGCUCAACCUGGGAAUUACGCUUGUGACUGCAGUGCUGGAGUGCGGCAGAGGGGGAUGGAAUUCCGCGUGUAGCAGUGAAAUGCGUAGAUAUGCGGAGGAACACCGAUGGCGAAGGCAAUCCCCUGGGCCUGCACUGACGCUCAUGCACGAAAGCGUGGGGAGCAAACAGGAUUAGAAACCCCAGUAGUCC